RNAcentral lists this ribosomal RNA (253 nucleotides) under uncultured bacterium. RNAcentral describes it as "partial 16S ribosomal RNA". It matches the Rfam family "Bacterial small subunit ribosomal RNA", at positions 524 to 776 of the family's 1533-position model. The record is from RNAcentral.
UACAGAGGUCCCAAGCGUUGUUCGGAUUCACUGGGCGUAAAGGGUGCGUAGGUGGUGAGGUAAGUCGGAUGUGAAAGCUCCGAGCUCAACUCGGAAAUGGCAUUGGAAACUACCUUGCUAGAGGGUUUGAGGGGGGACUGGAAUACUUGGUGUAGCAGUGAAAUGCGUAGAUAUCAAGUGGAACACCAGUGGCGAAGGCGAGUCCCUGGAAAACUCCUGACACUGAGGCACGAAAGCUAGGGGAGCAAACAGG